UACUCCGUUGCAUAUACUUAGGUAUUCUGGAGGGAUUUCUGUUUCUUCUGAAUAUGUAGGUUACUAUACGAUACUUUUCGUUUAAUUUACUUUAAUUUUACGAUUAUCAUCUGUUACCUAUCCUUCUCGGUCUGUUUGGAGCCUUCUGGUUUAGUGCAACACAAACUGGCGUAAACGAAUCAUAUCUAUGAAAUUCAAAUGAAACGAAUCACUUGGGACUUUGCAAUCAGGUGCAACGUACCGUAUUCGUGUUGAAAUUCCCUGGUAGUAUUACCAAGUUCUAUUUGUUUGGCACUACGGUCAAACACACAUAUCGGUGCUCCACACCGAUCCCUCAUACGCCACUGAGUCAAGAGAGGAGGAUGUGAUGGGCCAACAGAGGAGGACAGAUGGAAGUGCUGACCUGUUGGGGACGUGGACGUAACCUCUGCCUCAGGACCUGUCCCCUUAAACCCCCCAGAAAAUCUUCUUCGGUCCUGGAGCCAACAAACAUCCAAAAAGUUUGCAGGAGGAGAGGAGUGCCGGGGACUUGACGUGGAGCUGGUAGUGACAAGAAAGAUGGGACAGGCAGGAGGGUGCGUCCUUUGAACCUCAAGACCACGGUGAGGCCUGGACUUCUGACGAGGCGUCUCGGCCUGCGUUCCUUCCCAAGGUCAGCCGUUCCUGCGGGGUCCUCCACGCUCACAGAGCACAUUGAGAUGGCUUGCCUUGACACAGCUGUGGAGGACAGUGAUUCUUCGGCACUGAAGAGGAAACGCGAUUACCAGAGAGACAGAGACAUCCACCCAACGGCAGACAAGCCGUGUGAUUCAAUAAGUUUGUCGCGCAUGAGAUAACCUAUCGGAAAUACCCCGCUGCAAAAUAAGAAGUGGGGGAAAAGCCCCCGAAAACCUGCGGUGCAUGGAGGCACCUUGCCUGGAGAAACCGGGGCCGGUCAGCGCUCUGAAAGCAGGAAGUGUUCCUGUGGACCGUUCACACAGUCUAUUUUUGGAUGGAUGCUUGCUACACCACCGCACCUGGGUUUGGGAGUUGAUUUGUGUUCCUGUGACCUGAGCACAUAGUCACCAUUUUGGCUCAGAUUAUUGCCUUUGCCGCCUGCUGCUGAAAUGCAAUGACAGUUUAUAUUUUAUAUUUGUCUGGGAUAGGUGUAUCCAUGAGUCUACGUGUAUUAGGUCAAA
Molecule: long non-coding RNA, 1178 nt
Organism: Anguilla anguilla (European eel)
Lineage: Eukaryota; Metazoa; Chordata; Actinopteri; Anguilliformes; Anguillidae
Exons: 6
Source: RefSeq, a predicted model, not a curated record